AAAACAAAAUGGUGUCAGUGGGUGUUACCGGCACGGGGAAGCUCAGUGCCUCUGUGGUAGCAGCUCAGUGCCUGCCUCUGGACCCCUCAGGAUGGGAUUUGAGGCAUAAAUGACUUGAAGGGAAAGCUGGCUGAGUCAUCUUGGAGCACACAGAGUUCUUUACAGAGACAAACUAAUUAUUUCUCUGCAACACCCCUGUGAAGAAGAUGACAUUUCAAAAUGAAACUGAACCUGAAAGUCUGUGCUCUGAAGUUCCUGGUUCAGACAUGGCUUCAGGGCUUUUAAAUUCCUGCAUGCCUAUCGGCUCUCAGUGAGGUUCUCAGGGCUUCCACAGGUCUUUUGAACAGGAAGCCUACUGCUAGCGCGCUGGGAGGGCUGCACCACGACUGGGACAAGUAUCUGCCCCAUCAAUCCUCUAGGAAGGUGGAAGAAAAUCCCUCAGGGCUCUCAAAAAACUGAAAACUUUUGUUUUUACGAGGAAGGGGUUGUGCCUAUUGCACAGCUGGGCAGGCCUUCUUGUGUACUUCUCCUUUCCUCUGAAAGAUGCCACCCAGUAGCUAUGGCUGUCUGGGAGCUUCUGCAGCUGUAUCAACUGCCAACUUCAGUGUCCCCUCUUGAUGGAGGGGUUGAUAGACUGCAAGGACAGGAAGGAGAAACCUGCAGAGUCAUCGCCUUAUGCAGCAGCUGAAGCCACAACUGCCUGCAGGAACAGAAGAGCGCAGUGGGGGCUUUGACUUCCUGAAGCAGCCUCCUAGAAACUGGGGAGAGAAUAAUCACAGGGAGGAAAGGCAGGCAGAGGAACUGGAACUAGUGGUUUGGGCCUCCCCCCCAGCCCGGAGAAACCAUGGUGCUUUUCUUCUGACACUGCCUCACUGUUUAACUGCAGUCCCGAAACAGUAAUAGCUGCAGCCUGGGGUUUUGAAGCACACAGUAGGAAGAAAUAGGAGGCACCCCUGAUGUAAUACAACAUAUGUUUGCUUCUUGUUGGAAAAGUGUAU
This is a long non-coding RNA of Gallus gallus (chicken), 998 nucleotides long. The record is from Ensembl. Lineage: Eukaryota; Metazoa; Chordata; Aves; Galliformes; Phasianidae.